RNAcentral lists this ribosomal RNA (429 nucleotides) under Fusobacteriota bacterium. RNAcentral's name for it is "Fusobacteria bacterium partial 16S ribosomal RNA". It matches the Rfam family "Bacterial small subunit ribosomal RNA", at positions 355 to 776 of the family's 1533-position model. Lineage: Bacteria; Fusobacteriati; Fusobacteriota. The record is from RNAcentral.
UGGGGAAUAUUGCGCAAUGGGCGAAAGCCUGACGCAGCGACGCCGCGUGAGGGAUGAAGGUUUUCGGAUCGUAAACCUCUGUCAGAAGGGAAGAAACCGCACUGUGCUAAUCAGCAGUGCCUUGACGGUACCUUCAAAGGAAGCACCGGCUAACUCCGUGCCAGCAGCCGCGGUAAUACGGAGGGUGCAAGCGUUAAUCGGAAUUACUGGGCGUAAAGCGCACGUAGGCUGCUUUGUAAGUCAGGGGUGAAAUCCCACGGCUCAACCGUGGAACUGCCUUUGAUACUGCUUAGCUUGAAUCCGGGAGAGGGUGGCGGAAUUCCAGGUGUAGGAGUGAAAUCCGUAGAUAUCUGGAGGAACAUCAGUGGCGAAGGCGGCCACCUGGACCGGCAUUGACGCUGAGGUGCGAAAGCGUGGGGAGCAAACAGG